Molecule: long non-coding RNA, 190 nt
Filed under: Struthio camelus australis
Lineage: Eukaryota; Metazoa; Chordata; Aves; Struthioniformes; Struthionidae
Description: lncRNA (ENSSCUG00000013994.1)
Source: RNAcentral
AUCAUGAACAGCAUCUGCUUAGAAAAUAAGCAGGAACCAUCUAUGCCUCAGGAUAAUAAAAUGGCUCUAACCUGCCCUUCCUAAGUUUUUGGUCAAAUCCCAAGGUGCCAGGACCAACAGCGAUCAUGGCAGCAAAAUACAGCUACGUUUUCUUCUGAACUGAGAACCAAGUAGACAAAGCUGGUGAUAA